CUUGGUGGUCAGCUUCAAAUGUCUCGGAGCCUACUAAUCCGUUUGCCAAUUACACUCAUUUAAAGGAGGUAUGGUUUGACUUAUCGGCUACAUCUAGUUGGAAAGCCCCAGCAAAUUUAUACUGGAUUUGUGGUAAGAAAACUUAUUCGGAGUUACCACAAGAUUGGGAAGGGGCAUGUGUAUUAGGUAUGCCAAAGCCAUCCUUCUUCUUGUUGCCAAUCG
Pelobates cultripes (western spadefoot toad) is the source of this 222-nucleotide non-coding RNA. The record is from the annotation of a GenBank genome assembly. NCBI's taxonomy places the organism in Eukaryota, Metazoa, Chordata, Amphibia, Anura, Pelobatidae.